RNAcentral lists this transfer RNA (85 nucleotides) under bovine gut metagenome. It matches the Rfam family "tRNA". From Rfam's summary of the family: Transfer RNA (tRNA) molecules are approximately 80 nucleotides in length. The record is from RNAcentral.
GAGAGGUGGCCGAGCGGUUUAAGGCACAUGUCUUGAAAACAUGCAACGGGGAAACUCGUUCGAGGGUUCGAAUCCCUCCCUCUCC